GAUGAACGCUAGCUACAGGCUUAACACAUGCAAGUCGAGGGGAAACGACAUCGAAAGCUUGCUUUUGAUGGGCGUCGACCGGCGCACGGGUGAGUAACGCGUAUCCAACCUGCCCACCACUUGGGGAUAACCUUGCGAAAGUAAGACUAAUACCCAAUGAUAUCUCUAGACGACAUCUGAAAGGGAUUAAAGAUUUAUCGGUGAUGGAUGGGGAUGCGUCUGAUUAGCUUGUUGGCGGGGUAACGGCCCACCAAGGCAACGAUCAGUAGGGGUUCUGAGAGGAAGGUCCCCCACAUUGGAACUGAGACACGGUCCAAAACUCCUACGGGAGGCAGCAGUGAGGAAUAUUGGUCAAUGGGCGAGAGCCUGAACCAGCCAAGUAGCGUGCAGGAUGACGGCCCUAUGGGUUGUAAACUGCUUUUAUAAGGGAAUAAAGUGAGUCUCGUGAGACUUUUUGCAUGUACCUUAUGAAUAAGGACCGGCUAAUUCCGUGCCAGCAGCC
Molecule: ribosomal RNA, 502 nt
Filed under: uncultured bacterium
Lineage: Bacteria
Description: bacterial SSU rRNA
Rfam family: Bacterial small subunit ribosomal RNA
Source: RNAcentral